ACAAAGGGGUGCGUUUAUGUUGCACAUCUACAGUACAGUAGAUGCAUAAACAGCUGAGAACAGACCCUCAAAACUUGAUCGGGAUAAUGCCCGCGUAAGGAAGGAAUA
Molecule: non-coding RNA, 108 nt
Filed under: bovine gut metagenome
Source: RNAcentral